GUCCACACGGUAAACGAUGAAUACUCGCUGUUGGCGAUAUACUGUCAGCGGCCAAGCGAAAGCAUUAAGUAUUCCACCUGGGGAGUACGCCGGCAACGGUGAAACUCAAAGGAAUUGACGGGGGCCCCGCACAAGCGGAGGAACAUGUGGUUUAAUUCGAUGAUACGCGAGGAACCUUACCCGGGCUUAAAUUAUGCAUGAAUUAUCUGGAAACAGGUAAGCCGCAAGGCAUGUAUGAAGGUGCUGCAUGGUUGUCGU
This 258-nucleotide ribosomal RNA is filed under the name uncultured bacterium. RNAcentral describes it as "partial 16S ribosomal RNA". It matches the Rfam family "Bacterial small subunit ribosomal RNA", at positions 793 to 1055 of the family's 1533-position model. The record is from RNAcentral.